AGCAGCUUGGCGCAGUGGAAGCGCGGUAUGUUUAACAAGCUCCAUCAAUAUCUACAAAACUAACUCAUCCCAGCCGGGCUCAUAACCCGGAGGUCACUGGAUCGAAACCAGUAGCUGCUA
RNAcentral lists this transfer RNA (120 nucleotides) under Fusarium oxysporum f. sp. radicis-lycopersici 26381. RNAcentral describes it as "tRNA-Met (CAT) (tRNA-Met-CAT-4-1)". It matches the Rfam family "tRNA". Rfam says of the family: Transfer RNA (tRNA) molecules are approximately 80 nucleotides in length. Their secondary structure includes four short double-helical elements and three loops (D, anti-codon, and T loops). The record is from RNAcentral. Lineage: Eukaryota; Fungi; Ascomycota; Sordariomycetes; Hypocreales; Nectriaceae.